UACGGAGGGUGCGAGCGUUAAUCGGAAUUACUGGGCGUAAAGCGCACGUAGGCUGUUGUGUAAGUCAGAGGUGAAAUCCCGCGGCUCAACCGCGGAACUGCCUUUGAUACUGCAUGACUGGAAUCCGGGAGAGGGUGGCGGAAUUCCAGGUGUAGGAGUGAAAUCCGUAGAUAUCUGGAGGAACAUCAGUGGCGAAGGCGGCCACCUGGACCGGAAUUGACGCUGAGGUGCGAAAGCGUGGGGAG
Molecule: ribosomal RNA, 245 nt
Filed under: uncultured Desulfovibrio sp.
Lineage: Bacteria; Pseudomonadati; Thermodesulfobacteriota; Desulfovibrionia; Desulfovibrionales; Desulfovibrionaceae
Description: partial 16S ribosomal RNA
Rfam family: Bacterial small subunit ribosomal RNA
Source: RNAcentral